RNAcentral lists this ribosomal RNA (228 nucleotides) under uncultured Carnobacterium sp. RNAcentral's name for it is "partial 16S ribosomal RNA". It matches the Rfam family "Bacterial small subunit ribosomal RNA", at positions 558 to 776 of the family's 1533-position model. Lineage: Bacteria; Bacillati; Bacillota; Bacilli; Lactobacillales; Carnobacteriaceae. The record is from RNAcentral.
UCUCGGAAUUCCCUGUGUUAAGGUGAGCAGGCGGAUAUGGAGACUGUUUGAAAUCCCCGGGCUCUACCUUGAAACUGCAUCUGUGACUGCAUAGAAAAGGACGGUAUAAGGGGUGGGAAUUUCUUCCCAGCAGUGAAAUUCGUAGAUCUGCGAUGGAACACCAACGGCUAAGGCAAUCCCCUGGACCUGUACUGACGCUCAUGCAGGAAAGCGUGGGGAGCAAACAAG